GACGAACGCUGGCGGCGUGCUUAACACAUGCAAGUCGAACGGUUCAUUCUGGGCAUCUGGAAUGGAUAGUGGCGGACGGGUGAGUAACGCGUGGGUAACCUACCCAUAAAACUGGGACAACUCUGGGAAACUGGAGCUAAUACCGGAUACGCUUAUCGGGCGGCAUCGCCUGGUGAGGAAAGGUGGCCUCUGAAAAUGCUGCCGAUUAUGGAUGGACCCGUGUCUGAUUAGCUAGUUGGCAGGGUAGCGGCCUACCAAGGCGACGAUCAGUAGCCGGCCUGAGAGGGUGGCCGGCCACACUGGGACUGAGACACGGCCCAGACUCCUACGGGAGGCAGCAUG
RNAcentral lists this ribosomal RNA (342 nucleotides) under uncultured bacterium. Its description in RNAcentral is "bacterial SSU rRNA". It matches the Rfam family "Bacterial small subunit ribosomal RNA", at positions 28 to 355 of the family's 1533-position model. The record is from RNAcentral.